RNAcentral lists this small RNA (357 nucleotides) under Arabidopsis thaliana (thale cress). RNAcentral's name for it is "putative long intergenic non-coding RNA". The record is from RNAcentral. Lineage: Eukaryota; Viridiplantae; Streptophyta; Magnoliopsida; Brassicales; Brassicaceae.
AUAUUGAGAAGAGUACUGCAUUUCUGUUUUCACCACAAAACUAUGUGCGAUUAAAACGAUGUGCUAGCUGGAGUUCAAUGUUUUAAUUCACAAUUUACGAGACUCCUUUACUGCUUUCUGUUCUGCAUUCUCUGUUGCUUCUCGUUAAUAAUUCUUCUGAGAUCAUGCCUACACUUGCACAACCACACCAAAAGAGGAGUACUAUAUGAAAAAACCUGUGCUAUUAUUGCCUACAUGCAUGGGACAAAACUAUAUUUAAUGUAAUUUGAUAUUCUUGGAAUAAGUUGAUGUUGUUGUAUGGGCAAUAGCGAUUUCAAUGAUGUCAAUAUGGUUUGUUUAAUAAUUCCUAUAUUAUAU